AUUUUAAUAUAAUAAUUUUGGAGUUCUUUUAUGUGGUUAUAGAGAGAAAGAGAGGUCAUUCCUCUUUUCUUUUCUUGCUGAACACGAACAACUUCUCUUACUGUACGCGAAGGAAGAGGAAGAGUCUUCUCUUCAACAGAAAAAUCACCAUAGGAAGAUAAAGUCCAAAAUUGUGUUUCUUGGAUUGGAAUAAGUGAUUGGUUCUGAGGCAAUCGUUUUGGUCUUAUCAGUUUUUAUUCAUAGAUGAGAAAACCAUCAACAAUUGACACAUUCUUUAAAAGAAAGAAUGUUGAAGUUUCAACAUCUAAUGCACAUUCAGAUCCACCUGUUGAUAUUGAUCAUGUAAAUUCUGAAAAUCGCGCUACAAAAUCUUCAAGAGUUGAUAUUAAAGAAGGGUUUGAUUUCAAUUCAUUAAAGCGUGAUCCAGGACUACGACAACAAAUAUGGGAGUAUCCAAUUGAGAAGUGUGAUGAAGUUCGUAGAGCUUAUAUUAAAUCUGGUCCAUAUCAGAGUAUACUUUCUACUUAUCCAAAAUCAUGGGGAGCGCAUUCACGUAGUUUCCAGUCAUCUUAGUUUAAGCUAUUUCCUUCUUGGUUGGAAUGUUCUCUUAAUGUAGAUGCUGUAUUUUGUCUACCAUGCUAAAGAUGGACCCCCUGGAUUAGAUGCAUUUACUAUUAGUGGAUUUCGAACAUGGAAUAAGGUGGGAGGAAAACAUUGUUUGUUUUUGGCACAUAUUGGACAAGAUCCCACUUCACCUCAUAGAAACACAAAGAAAGCUUGUGCAGAUCUCAUGAACUAGCCAGCACAUGUUGCAAGAAGGUUUGCAAACUUCAAAUCAUAAGAAAUUACUGAAAAUAGACUUCGGUUGAAAACUUCAAUCAAGGGAAUUAGAUGGCUUGCAUUUCAAGGAUUGUCUUUUAAAGGUCGCAAUGAGUCCAUAACAUCAUGAAAUCGUGGAAACUUUGUAGAAAUAUUGAGUUACACAACUUCUUGUAGUGAUGAAGUAGCAGAAGUUUUAGAUAAAGCUCCUCGCAAUGCCUCAUAUACAUCACCAAAAAUUCAAAAACAGAUUUUGCACGUCUUGGCAAAUAAAGUGAGGAAUGCAAUUCGUGAAGAAAUUUGUGAUGCAAAAUUUUGUAUAAUAGUUGAUGAAGCAUGAGAUGAACCUAAAAAGGAGCAAAUGUCAAUUGUUUUGAGAUUUGUUGACAAAGAUGGAUGUGUUCAAGAACGCCUUUUCGAGCUUAUUCAUGUUAAAGACACUGCCGCGUUAACAUUAAAGCAAUGUAUUUUUUCUGUCAUCUCUAAUCAUAGUCUUGAUGUUCAUUCUAUUCGAUUACAAGGUUACGAUGGUGCAAGUAACACGUGUGGAUAAUGAAAUGGUUUGCAAGCUUUAAUUUCAAGUGAAUGUCCUUACGCUUAUUAUGUUCAUUGCUUUGCACAUCAUUUACAAUUGGCGUUAGUUGCUGCAUCUAGAGAAGUUAUUCCUAUCCAUCAAUUCUUCACCAAGUUAAACUCUAUUGUUAAUAUUGUUGGUGCUUCAUGUAAGCGUAAUGACCAAUUAAAAGUUGCUCAAGCUGAAAAUAUUGCUCAUUUACUUGAGAUUGAUGAACUAGAAAGUGGGAUAGGGCUUAAUCAAAUAGGUUCUUUACAAAGGGCAAGUGAUACUCGUUGGAGUUCUCACUUGAAAUAUAUUUCUAGUCUCAUAAAGAUGUUUAGUGCAACAUGUGAAGUUGUAUUAAAUAUUAUUGACGAUGGCACUACUUCUACUCAACGAGGAGAUGCUGAUGUAACUUAUGAGUCGGUAAAUUCUUUUGACUUUGCUUUCAUUUUGCAUCUCAUGAAUUUUUUUUGGAGAUUUCUAAUAUACUUUGUCAAGGUUUGAAACUUUAGUCUAAAGAUAUUUUAAAUGCAAUGCUUUUGGUUUCAUCUACUAAGAUCCUCAUUCAAAAGCUAAGAGAAGAUGGAUGGGACGAAUUAGUUGAUGAGGUGAAAUCUUUUUGUGAAUCUAUUAAUAUACAUGCACUAGAUUUUAGUGCUCAUUAUACUGUAAGAAGAGGAAGGGCUCGUUGCCAACAAGAUGUCAUUACAGUGGAGCAUUACUACAAAUUUGAUAUUUUCAAUGUAGUGAUAGACUUCAACUUCAAGAAUUAAACAACAAAAUCAAUGAUAACACAAUGGAGUAACUCAUUCUUAGUUCAUCUUUAGAUCCAAGAGAGACGCGUGUAUUAUUCAGAAUUGAUGACAUUUGCAAGCUGGUACACAAUUUUUAUCCAAAAGACUUUACAGAAUACGAGAUGAUACAGCUAAGGGUGCAAUUUGAACAUUUAGUUCAUGUGCGGCAGCUUCAUGAUUUUACAAUUUUGGCUACUAUUUAUGAUUUAUGUCAAUGGUUGGUAAGAACUAGAAAAGCAGAAGUCUUUCCUGUUGUGUAUAGAACGGUAACUCUUAUUCUUACACUUCCAGUUUCUACAGCUACCACAUGGUGUUCUUUUUCAACUAUGAAUACAGUGAAGACUACAAUUCGCAAUAAGAUGGAAGAUGAAUUUUUAAAUGAUUGUAUGCUAUUGUAUAUUGAAAAGGAAAUCGUUGAAAAUUUUAGUUUUGAUUCACUUAUAGAUGAUUUUAGUGAUAUGCAAGAAAGACGUCUUGUAUUUUAAUAUUGAUUAUGAAUUUAAUGAUGUAUUUUGAAAUAUUAGUUUUACUAAAAUUUUAAUAGUUAGGCCACCCCUAUUGUCUAAUCCUGGGUCCGUCUCUGAAUAUACAU
This is a long non-coding RNA of Humulus lupulus (European hop), 2764 nucleotides long. RefSeq lists it as uncharacterized. The transcript has 3 exons. NCBI's taxonomy places the organism in Eukaryota, Viridiplantae, Streptophyta, Magnoliopsida, Rosales, Cannabaceae. The record is from RefSeq and is a predicted model, not a curated record.